RNAcentral lists this ribosomal RNA (404 nucleotides) under uncultured Rubellimicrobium sp. RNAcentral's name for it is "bacterial SSU rRNA". It matches the Rfam family "Bacterial small subunit ribosomal RNA", at positions 355 to 776 of the family's 1533-position model. The record is from RNAcentral. Lineage: Bacteria; Pseudomonadati; Pseudomonadota; Alphaproteobacteria; Rhodobacterales; Roseobacteraceae.
UGGGGAAUCUUAGACAAUGGGGGCAACCCUGAUCUAGCCAUGCCGCGUGGGUGAAGAAGGCCUUCGGGUCGUAAAGCCCUUUCGCCGGGGAAGAUAAUGACGGUACCCGGUAAAGAAGCCCCGGCCAACUCCGUGCCAGCAGCCGCGGUAAUACGGAGGGGGCUAGCGUUGUUCGGAAUGACUGGGCGUAAAGCGCGCGUAGGCGGGUCUGCAAGUCGGGGGUGAAAUCCCGGGGCUCAACCCCGGAACGGCCUUCGAGACUGCCGGCCUGGAGUUCGAGAGAGGUGGGUGGAAUUCCGAGUGUAGAGGUGAAAUUCGUAGAUAUUCGGAGGAACACCGGUGGCGAAGGCGGCCCACUGGCUCGACACUGACGCUGAGGCGCGAAAGCGUGGGGAGCAAACAGG